CUACGGGGGGCUCCAGUGGGGAAUAUUGGACAAUGGGCGCAAGCCUGAUCCAGCAAUACCGCGUGUGUGAAGAAGGCCUGCGGGUUGUAAAGCACUUUCAAUUGUGAAGAAAAGCGAGAGGUUAAUAGCCUUUUGUCUUGACGUUAACUUUAGAAGAAGCACCGGCUAACUCCGUGCCAGCAGCCGCGGUAAUACAGAGGGUGCGAGCGUUAAUCGGAAUUACUGGGCGUAAAGCGUGCGUAGGCGGUUUAGUAAGUCAGAUGUGAAAGCCCUGGGCUCAACCUGGGAACUGCAUUUGAAACUGCUGAACUAGAGUGUGGUAGAGGGAAGUGGAAUUCCGGGUGUAGCGGUGAAAUGCGUAGAUAUCCGGAGGAACACCAGUGGCGAAGGCGACUUCCUGGACCAACACUGACGCUGAGGUACGAAAGCGUGGGUAGCAAACAGGAUUAGAUACCCGAGUAGUC
Molecule: ribosomal RNA, 464 nt
Filed under: uncultured bacterium
Lineage: Bacteria
Description: partial 16S ribosomal RNA
Rfam family: Bacterial small subunit ribosomal RNA
Source: RNAcentral